CUAAAAAGCUUCAUGGGCUUUUGAUGUAUUAGAUUAUUUUCAAAUUAAAUUCCCCUCAAUUAGACAAAAAGUAUACCCACAUUUCUUCUAAAGAUAAGCUUAAAAACAUAUCUUUAAAAGGUAGAUUUUAAAUUAUCUUUCUGAUAUAAUAAAAGUAAUUGAUCUAAUCAGAUUUUAUCUUGGGUCUGUUUUUUUAGAUCAGCUUUAUGGAAGUAUAAUUUGCAUACAAUAAAAUGCACUUCCUUUUUGCCUGUUAAUGGACUGCGCAUUGCUGCAGCUGAAGGAAACCCUCAGGGAGAGAUAAGAAACUUCAGUUUGAGAAAAGGGAAAUUUUCCUGUUGGCUUCUCCUUUGCCCUGGUCCCAGAGUUCAGGCCAGGUAUAGGAAAAACAAAGUCACACACCUGCCUUCCCAUCCAGAUCUGCCAGUGUAAUGCAAACUAAUACACUAAGCCAGUUCCAGAGCAGGUUGUGAUAGUUCCCCAGAGGGUGAUUAAGAAAAAGAUAAUUGGAUGUUGCAUGGACUUGUUUCUCUCUGCUCCUCCUGGCCAGGUACAGUUACAAACUGAAAAUUAUACAAUAGGCAAUGAAUGGAGAACUCUAAAAGAUGUAAAGAGGAAGGCAAACUAGUUAGGGACCACUGGAUUUGAGGAACACAGAAAUAUGGCAUCAUAUUCAUUGCCCACCCAGCAGACCCAGCUCAAUGAGAGUAACCUCAUUUCAGCAUUCAUGACCCUUAGCCUUACAACAGAAGAUGGCCCAGAGAGACUGAUUCCUCUCCAAAUCAAACCACCACCAACAUCAGGCAAGUCUAACAGCACUGACAAGGUGGUGGAUGGAGAGCCCUGCUGACAGUAGCUGACAGAGGAGUACAUUCCUUGUUCUGAGAUUACCUCCUCCACCACGAGAUGCCAGGUGGCCAUGUGGCACUAGCAAAGGCGAUCCUGUCAAAACAAGCACCUGACCUAGGAGUGCUCUCCAUCCCUCAGAAGCAGACAAGUUCCGCCACUCACUACAAGUUCCAGGCCCCAAAAGGGCUCUCCUUUCUGACUGGGCUGAGAAUCCUCUCCCCAGCAAGAGACACUGUGGCAGUGGCCUGGGGAAGGAAGUACACCGCUCCUGGGAAGGCCCCAGCCAAUCUAGUCUUUUGAAAUCCCAUCUGUCCCCCCAUUUUCACCAGGAAGCCCCUGAAAUACCAGAUAAAUCAAGCAGACCAAAAUAAUACUGCAAGUGUUCUGAAAUUAAACUUCCUUUGGAACCACAGACCAGGCAAUUAGACUAAUAUUUGCAUGUUAAACAUAAACAGGGUGACUACCUGCCAAAAUAAAAGAUUUAAAAGUGCCUCAAAAUCUCCUAACAUAAUAGCCAAAAGACUCACUCAUCAUACCAAGAAUAAGGAAAAUCACGAGUUGAAUGAGAAAAUAAAGUUAACUAAUGCCAACACUCAGAUGAGUGAAAUGUUGGGAUUAUCUGAUAGGAUUUUAUUUAUUUAUUUAUUUAUUUUUUUGCAUGCCUCCACCAUGCAGAGGUUCUCAGGCCAGGGAUCAAACCUGAGCCACUGUAGUGACCCAAGCUACAUCAGUGACAACACUGGAUCCUUAAUCCACUGAGCUACCAGGGAACUCCUUGAUAAGGAUUUUAGAGUGGUCACCAUAAAAAUGUUUCAAUAAGAAAUUACAAAUGAUCGUGAAACAAAUGAAAAAAAAAUAGGAAACCUCAAUAAAUAAAUAGAAAUUAUAUUUUAAAAAACACAUAGAGGAGGCCCUACCACAUUGCAGUGGGUUAAGAAUCCAACAGCAGCAGCUUGGGGUGGGUUUGAUUCUGGGCCCAGCACAAUAGGUUAAAUGAUCCAGCAUUGCUACUGCAGCUGGGGGCAGAGGUGCAACUCAGAUUCUAUACCAGGCCUGGGAACUUCCAUAUACCACAAAUGUGGACUUAAAAAAAAAAAAGAAAAAGGAAAUUAUAGAACUGAAAAAUACAACAGAAUUAAAACCUAGCUAGAUGGGCCAAUAGAGUAAAAGUGACAGGAUAAAAACCAUGAACAUGAAGACAGAUCCCCUAAUUUCUUCUAUAUGAACAAAAGAGAGAAAAAUCAACAAUGCCUCAGGGACCUCAGGGAAAAUAACUAGAGAUUCAAUGAUUUUGAUCAUUGGAGUCCAGAAGGAGAGGAGAUGAAUGAGGAUAGAAGAAGAUUUGAAAACAAUAAUAGCUGAAAACUUAGCAAAUUUGCCACUAGACAUGAAGCUACAGAUUUAAAAAGCUGAGUAAAACCCCCAUUAGAUAAACAAAAGAAAUUCACAUGAAGACACAGUAUAAUUAAACUUUUGAAAACUAAAUCAAAGAAAAAAUAUCAAAAGUAUCCAGAUAAAAAUGACAUAUUACCUGUAAGAGAACACCUAUUUGAAUGAUACUGGAUUUCUCACCUGAAAAUGUGAAGGUCAGAAGAGGUAGCACAACUGUUAACUGUAAAUUCCAUAUGCAGAAAAAUUACCCUUUAAGAGUAAAGGGAAAAUAAGUACAUUCUUAGACAAAGAAAGAUUAAAAAUUUUGCCGCUAAUGGACUCAUUCUUCAAGAUUGGCUAAUGGAAUACUGGGAAUGACCAAGACAGGGGAGUAGGAAGAACCUGAGCUCAUCUCCUCUCAUGGGCAUACAGAAAUUGCAAGUAUUUGCAGAGAACCAACCAUGAGAAUGACCCAAAAACUAGCAGAAAAACUCUUCUACAGCUGAAAAUACAAAGAAGGAACCACAAUGAGAUGGGCUGAAUGGAUGAAGUCAUAGUGUAAUCAAGACUCAUAAUCCCAAGUAAGUGACUCAAAAAUGGAAGGAUUUUUUCCCUCAAGGAUGAGGGGUUCAGGGCCCACUAUGGGCUCCCCAUCCUGUGGAUUCUGUAUCAGGAGGACAAGCCCCUAAAACAUUUGGCUCUGAAAGCAGUGGGGCUUGUGUUUGAGAGAGCUGGAGGGCCAUAGAAGACAGAGACUCUGUUCUUAAAGGACAUGCAAAAAAAAAAAAAAA
This 3011-nucleotide long non-coding RNA is filed under the name Sus scrofa (pig). RNAcentral's name for it is "lncRNA (ENSSSCG00050037582.1)". Lineage: Eukaryota; Metazoa; Chordata; Mammalia; Artiodactyla; Suidae. The record is from RNAcentral.